UACGGAGGAUGCAAGCGUUAUCCGGAAUGAUUGGGCAUAAAGCGUCCGCAGGUGGUUAUACAAGUCUGCUGUCAAAGCGCAAGGCUCAACCUUGUAAAGGCAGUGGAAACUGUGUGACUAGAGAGUGAUGAGGGCAGAGGGAAUUCCCAGUGUAGGCGGUGGAAAUGCGUAGAGAGUUAGGGAAGAACACCGGUGGCGAAAGCGCUCUGCUGGGUCAUAUCACACUGAGGGGACGAAAGCUAGGGAGCGAA
This 251-nucleotide ribosomal RNA is filed under the name uncultured bacterium. Its description in RNAcentral is "partial 16S ribosomal RNA". It matches the Rfam family "Bacterial small subunit ribosomal RNA", at positions 524 to 772 of the family's 1533-position model. The record is from RNAcentral.